UCGACGCGCCGGCUUCGCGCACCUCUUGAUUUCUUAUCUUAACUGUCGCGUCGUUGCUUGCGCAGUUUGCGGUCAGUUUCGUGCCGGUUUCAGGUUGAUCGAGACGUAUUCUACGCGACUCGUAUUGUUUGUAUUAUAUUUAAUCAUCACUCUCUAUUUAAUUGUAAUCACUAUAGUAAUAUAAUUUACUAUUUGCGCGUUUAUCGUCCGGCCGGUUUGUGAUCGCGCGGCAAGUGUAUAUUGCAAUUCACAAUAGUUGCUAGGUGAAUCAAUUAAAUAUCGUCUCCAUAUUGCUCCCAUCGUGCUGGUUAUUUGCUGUGCCUUGGAGUCCGAUGAGUUCUGCAUUGCACUUGCUGUGCCCCAGUGACUGAUGCGCACAAAAAUUCGAGUCACUACUACUGCCACCUUGAUACGGUGCCUUGAAUGGGAGUCACUACAGUCGCUACCUUCGAAUGGUGGCCCAAAUGGGAGUCUCUAUGGAUCCUUUGUUGGAUGAAGUAUUGUCUAAUUCUGAGAUGGCCAAGUUUAUCAAUAAGGACCAACUGGAGUGGUUCAGGUGGAGUGCGUAUUGAGGAUGAUGUUUUGAUUACUGAAAAUAGAUGUUGCAACUGGACUAAACUUAUAAGAACUGUCCAAGAAAUUGAAGAUUGGAUUGCCGGUGUUGAUGAUGAUUCCAAAUUCGAUUGAAUGAAUUUACAACAUUUCGAAGCUGUUAUUGAUAUCAUUUUUGUUUAUUAUGUUAAAAAUUGUAAAAAGAGCAUUGUAUAAUUACAUGUAUAUAUUGAGAAAUUGAGUUACUGAUGGGUGUAUAUUCUACAUGUUUGAAUAAAAUUGUUGUUUUAUACUUUUAACUAUAAA
This is a long non-coding RNA of Dalotia coriaria, 858 nucleotides long. RefSeq lists it as uncharacterized. The record is from RefSeq and is a predicted model, not a curated record. The transcript has 6 exons. NCBI's taxonomy places the organism in Eukaryota, Metazoa, Arthropoda, Insecta, Coleoptera, Staphylinidae.